Molecule: non-coding RNA, 198 nt
Filed under: Croceibacterium mercuriale
Lineage: Bacteria; Pseudomonadati; Pseudomonadota; Alphaproteobacteria; Sphingomonadales; Erythrobacteraceae
Source: RNAcentral
AGGGCGCGCUGCGCGAACGGCUCCCCGGUGACGGGGAUGAAAAGGGAAGUCGGGAUCGGCCACUGGCUGCAGCCCGCGCUGCCCCCGCAACUGUGAUCGGGGAAUGUCGCCCGAACUGGCCACUGGGUGCAGAUCCGGGAAGGCCGGGCGACAUGGUGAUCCGAGAGCCAGGAGACCUGCCGGUCGCCAGUCGAUCCA